Non-coding RNA from Podarcis lilfordi (Lilford's wall lizard), 128 nucleotides. The record is from the annotation of a GenBank genome assembly. NCBI's taxonomy places the organism in Eukaryota, Metazoa, Chordata, Lepidosauria, Squamata, Lacertidae.
GUCACUCCAAACUAUACAAUUCUAUGAUUCUGUAUAAAACCUUAACCUAGGUACAGGGACUAUUGUUUUAGGCAAAUUUACUUUAUGUAACAAUCAUAGAAUCACAGAAUUGUAGAACUGGAAGGGAC